GGGAGGGUACAGCUCAGUGGCCGAGUGUGUGCCUCGCAUGCACGAGGUCCUGGGUUCAAUCCCCAGUCCCUCCA
This is a non-coding RNA of Camelus dromedarius (Arabian camel), 74 nucleotides long. The record is from the annotation of a RefSeq genome assembly. NCBI's taxonomy places the organism in Eukaryota, Metazoa, Chordata, Mammalia, Artiodactyla, Camelidae.